Homo sapiens (human) is the source of this 774-nucleotide non-coding RNA. Lineage: Eukaryota; Metazoa; Chordata; Mammalia; Primates; Hominidae. The record is from RefSeq and is a predicted model, not a curated record.
GACGGUCCUCCAGCGCGGAGACGAUGUCCUAAAACGGAAACACAGCCUCAGUCAACGGCUCAGGCAGACGCUGACCACAGGAGGCCGCCAUGAUGUGAGGAAGCCCAGGCUAUAUGGAGAUGUUUCAGUCGACAACUCCAGCUGAGGUCCCACCUGACAACCAGCAUCAACUGCCAAAUAUGCGAGUGAGCAAGGUGUCAAGAUGAGUCCAACCGCAGUCACUAUCUGACUGCAACGCCAUGAAAGACUCUAAGCAAGAAAUAGCUAGCGGAGCCCAGUCAACCUCCAGAAGAGCAAAAGAGAAUAAGGUGCUUCUUUCUUCGUCUUAAAAAAGGAGAACUCCAGUCUAAGCAUGAGACAAACAUCAGUCAAACCCAUAAUGGGAGACACUCUACAGGACUCCUGACUAGUACUUGUCAAGACUGUCAAGGUCAUAAGAAACAAGGAAAGGCUGAGAAAUGGUCACAGACCAGAAGAGACUGGAGAGACAUGACAACCAAAUGCAAGGUGGUACCUGGACCAAAUCCUGGAACAGAAAAAGGGCAUGACAAGGGACAGCAGUGGGAAAAGUGGUGAAAUUCGAAUCGAGCCUGGAGUUGAGGUAAUAGCACUGUACCAGUGUCAGUUUCCUAGCCUUGACAAAGGUGCCCUGCUAAUGUAAGAUGCUGACAACGGGUGACAAUGGGUGAGGGAUUUGUGGGAACUCUCUGUAUUACCCUUGCUACAGUCCCAUAAACCUGAAAUUAUUCCAAAAUAAAAGAUUUUGAAAAGGAA